This 403-nucleotide ribosomal RNA is filed under the name bacterium. RNAcentral describes it as "partial 16S ribosomal RNA". It matches the Rfam family "Bacterial small subunit ribosomal RNA", at positions 355 to 776 of the family's 1533-position model. The record is from RNAcentral.
UGGGGAAUAUUGCACAAUGGAGGGAACUCUGAUGCAGCGACGCCGCGUGAACGAAGAAGGCUUUCGAGUCGUAAAGUUCUAUUAUAUGGGAAGAUAAUGACGGUACCAUAAGAAAAAGCCCCGGCUAACUACGUGCCAGCAGCCGCGGUAAUACGUAGGGGGCUAGCGUUGUCCGGAAUCACUGGGCGUAAAGGGUUCGCAGGCGGAAAUGCAAGUCAGGUGUAAAAGGCAGUAGCUUAACUACUGUAAGCAUUUGAAACUGCAUAUCUUGAGAAGAGUAGAGGUAAGUGGAAUUUUUAGUGUAGCGGUGAAAUGCGUAGAUAUUAAAAAGAAUACCGGUGGCUAAGGCGACUUACUGGGCUCAUUCUGACGCUGAGGAACGAAAGCGUGGGUAGCAAGCAGG